This 107-nucleotide small nuclear RNA is filed under the name Carlito syrichta (Philippine tarsier). The record is from RNAcentral. Lineage: Eukaryota; Metazoa; Chordata; Mammalia; Primates; Tarsiidae.
GUGCUUGCUUCGGCAGCACAUAUACUAAAAUUGGAAUGAUACAGAGAAGAUUAGCAUAGCCCCUGCGCAAUGAAGACACGCAAAUUCAUGAAGUGUUCCAUAUUUUU